CUCACUGGAAGUUGGAUUACAGAGCAAUGGACAGUUAAAAAGAAGGAUGAAUAAAGGAAAAAGUUUCCGCUGGAGUGAAGGUAAUUCACACUUUCGAAUUUUGAAGAAAGUGGGUCUCUUUACAAUCUCCCUUGAGAUCCGUACAGUUUUCCCCAAAUGUUAAGAUGAUUGAAUUCAGAAUAAAACUGAAAAGAAAGUGUCACACUGGCGUUGUUCCUUGAAGCUAAAUUUUAUAAGAUAUAUGAAGAUGGCAGCAAGUUUUACUUUUACUUAAGACCUGAAGCUGUAAAUAAUGCUGUAAAGAUAAUUUUAGUUUAUGCAUACUAGCUCAUACUGAAGAAAAUUUGGUUUUUAUCAUUUGAAAUUGCUGCAGAAACAAAGUCACUUAAGAAUGAAUAAAUGGCAU
Molecule: long non-coding RNA, 406 nt
Organism: Stegodyphus dumicola
Lineage: Eukaryota; Metazoa; Arthropoda; Arachnida; Araneae; Eresidae
Source: RefSeq, a predicted model, not a curated record